CUGUAGAAAUGGCUCCCUUUCCUUUCCUAAAGAAUCUUCAGAACUCUGCAUGGCUAUUCAAUGGCUCCUCAACGAGAAUAGCUCCCUCUCUGAAAGAACAGCUGUUCCCAUCCUAACAGGGCCCUUUCCAUAGCAAAGCUUGAUGUGCAGGAAGGAGACGCAAUUUUGCCUUGAUCUUUUCAAAUCUUCUAGAAAUCUGGGGGUCUUAGCCACACUUGUGGAGGUCCAGUGGCUAGUGAAGAGGGCAGACACAGAACAAAGCCCCACCUCUGCCAUGGAUUUUUUUGUGGUACUGGGCAAGUCAGUAUUUUUUUAAUCUCAAUUCUUGAACUGAGAAAUAAGAAUCCUGUGACCUGCUUGAUAAGGUUGUUGUAAAGAACCCUACUGUUGUUGUUUUAAGCAUGAUAAAUUGACCAAAGUCCUAUAGGCACAUUAAACAUUCUUUAGUUCACUUCCAGCUGAGGAAUAUUCUUGAGGUUGCCUCUUUUGCUCUGAAGAGCUGGCAGAACUGAAAGAACAUCACUUUCUCCUUCUUGCUUCCAUUGCUUUGUGGGUUUUUGCACAGAGACUGCUUUGUUCCUUGGCCAUACCUGCAAAGGGCUCAGGCACUUCGAAUUUCACUAGGUUGCUUCUCAUGAACAAUGCCCUCCAAAACUCGGAUAAAAGGUUUGGAAUGAAUUAAAGUCCUGUUCCUCAGCACUCCGCUCAAGUACGAUAAGAACCGUUUUUGCACAGGAUAGGUCACUGCAUAGGGCUCUCCUCUAAUUUAGCAGCAAUGGAAGAGGGCAGAAAGCCACCCACAAAGGCUCUGCAUGCCCACCCCAGACCGAUACCUUGCAUAUUUAUGCUAGCUGCACUGUAGACAAGACCUUCCUUUAUUGGGGAGAGCAACAAACACAAUGGUGAUUAUCCCACAUGCCCUUCCUCUGCCACCUUGCCAGCUGUGGUUAAACAGAGAACAAAAGCAGUCAGCAUCUCAUAGCAGCCCAGGACAUGACUGAUCCAGCAGCAAAAUGCUACACACUCCAUGUGGAGCACAGUAAAAAUGGCAACUUUAACAGGCUUUCCCCCCUUUUUCUUUUGUAAAUAAACCAGAGCCCCUGAGCAAUUUUCAUGGCCAGAUAGCUACAUGUCUAUUUAGCUAAGGUUCCACGGUUAAUGCCAAACAUAGGAA
Podarcis muralis (Common wall lizard) is the source of this 1174-nucleotide long non-coding RNA. RefSeq lists it as uncharacterized. Lineage: Eukaryota; Metazoa; Chordata; Lepidosauria; Squamata; Lacertidae. The record is from RefSeq and is a predicted model, not a curated record.